CAACGACCCGAAGGGCGAAGCGCGCAGCGCUGAGUCAUCCUUCCCCCACCACCA
RNAcentral lists this small RNA (54 nucleotides) under Salmonella enterica subsp. enterica serovar Muenchen. Its description in RNAcentral is "partial RtT sRNA". It matches the Rfam family "RtT RNA", at positions 77 to 130 of the family's 130-position model. Rfam says of the family: This family represents a bacterial cis-regulatory element known as RtT RNA. The exact function of RtT is unknown although it is thought that it may be involved in changing the cellular response in relation to amino acid starvation. Lineage: Bacteria; Pseudomonadati; Pseudomonadota; Gammaproteobacteria; Enterobacterales; Enterobacteriaceae. RNAcentral also lists the same sequence under 34 other names. The record is from RNAcentral.